GUGAUGAGGGUGAUGGUGAUGAGGGGACUAUGGUGAGGGUGUUUCAUCGUUUCCUUCUUCGGCUCUUUUAAACUUGUCACUUUUUCAUUUCGUCGUCAUAACUUGUCACUUUUCACGGUCAUUUUCACUCUUUUAACCAUCGUCGUCGUUAUUGACAUCAAAAUUUCAUCACUUCGUAGUCACCAUCAUCGCUUAUUUUAACUGUCAUCUUUGCUCUGUCCUAUCAUCAUCACCCGCACCCACACCUCCCUUCACUUUCUCCUUGUUCUUACUCUCUUUAACCAUCAUCAUCACUCACACAUCAAAUGAUUUCCUCUCACUUCCAUCAUCUAUAACCUUCAUCACACACACACACACACACACAACUUAGACAAUGCACCUUAUUUAUCAUACUGGUUCCUCUUCUUCCUUCCUUCCUUCUUUCUCUUCCUUCAAAAGACAAACCUCCUUCAUCCUUUCCUUCCACUCUCACACUUUCCUUACCUUUCUUCCAUUUAUUCCUUCACUUGUACUUGUUAUCCCUUCCUCCUUUCCUUUCUUUUGUUCCUUCACUCUCAGCUGGUCCUGCCCUGUGUGGGGGGGAGGGGGAAGCAGCUUUGUGGUCUUAAGUUGCUGAUAGUGAAGGUCUUGUUAGGGAGUGUAAAUAAAAGCUUUUGGUAAUAAAUUUGUCUAACUGAUGGUGGUAGUUUGUGUCAACCCUGUGCUGAGAGAGAGAGAGAGAGAGAGAGAGAGAGAGAGAGAGAGAGAUUACUGUUAAUCCAUUCACUUCUAUACAAUUUUUUUCAGUUGCAACUUUUUUAGAUGUUUUUUGUACUAAACUCUUGAAUAUUUUUGUAUUCUGAGAGAGAGAGAGAGAGAGGGUGUGGCUUUAAUCCUUUCACUUCUACAAUAUUUUAUCUUUAACCAUCAACUUUUUGUAAACAUUUUGCGCUUCUUUGGCUAUUUCUUCGAGUGUGAGAGUGGUCGGUGCCACCCACGAGUCAGCUCCAGCUGCUUGUCCCUUGCCUCCCCUCCAUACUUGUCACAGAUGCACCAGUCACCUCCUGUGUGUUGUGGGUUACCUUGAUAGCAGCAGCAGUAGCAGCAGCAGCAGCAGGAGAGGCAGGCAGCAAGGGAAGACUGCUGAGGGCCAAGGCAGUGUUCAGUGUGGUGGUGGUGGUGGUGGCAGUGUUCCCCGGCAGCACACAGCCGGCGUCCCCUCUGCUGACCCGCCCCUCAUGACCCGGCAAGUCUCUCUCAGGAUAAGAAACACAUGUUGGGUAAAAUUACUAGACUUUACUUGACAUUUUGAUUAUAAUACAUGGUGUCCCGUGCACACACUUGUGUCACACUGAGGCAGUUUGGAGAAAUAAAGAAACACAUAACAGUAGGAAUUUUGAGGCAGGAAUAAGAAUUAUUGACUCUGUGCAGCACACAACAGUUUGUCUAUUUUUAGUCUGUUAUCUUCCAAGAAUCAGUUUACAAAAGUGCCACAGUCAAACUUUUGGACUCCCGAUAGCGGUGCCUCCCCACGUGCUUGGCUUGCUUCCUCCACAUGACAGGUUUACACUUGCUCCUAAAAAGUCAACACGAACUUUAUUUUUCUCCCUGGUAAGAAAUAAGAGUAAAUCACACGGCCUCUUCCCUCCCUGCGGCACCCCUCCUUGAGGGACGGCGCCCUGCUGUGCUGGCUGUUGCUGAGGCAGCAGGCAGGCACCGCCAGGACACUAGCGUGUGCCCCAAGGUGCCUUUGCUGAACCCAGCCCCCAUGGCACUGCCCUGCAUCCCGCCAGCACACAGCAACACCCUCGCUGGCCGUCACACUUCCUACAGUUCUUAAAGAGUCUUAUAGUUAAAAUACAGCAGUGUUAUUUACAGACGGCUGGCACACACCACACUCACAUUGGUGGCGGAGGGCUGCGUGACACUGCGGCCAGUGCCAGCAGCAGAAGGCUGGUGGGCAGGAGUCGCAGCAUCUCGGCACUCUGGCACCCAACGUUUAUACUUGCUGUUUGUGUCGCUCGUCGCAGGGAAGCUGUGAGUGUGAAAGCUGGCAACUGUUUUUUUAAUACAGCUCCUGACAGCCACACAGUGACCCAGGACCGACAGCAUGACAUGACACCUGCUGGUAUAAGUGACACGACAACCACACAGAGCAAGUGUAGUAUAAACGAAUGAAUCCUUGGGUGCUUUGAGUCGUAUAAGAGUGAUGAUACAACUCGGAACCCACUCUCCUUCCAUCCCUCCCUCUUACACACACACACACACGCACACACACACACAAUGGGACUUGUUCAGACUGUAUAUGCAUGUUAUUUGGCACAUGGGAGUUACCGUGAGGGUUACCAUGGGACUGUGGACCGAUUCAUGUCGUAUAUAGCUAGGACUGAGGACUGACUUGUGGUGCUUAUACCUAAAGGGAGGCCAGGGUGUGCUGAUGGCCUGACACACUCCUUCCUUCCCUUUGUUUUAUUCCUCUUGUCUUUUGUUUUCCUUCCUUCCCAUUUUCUUCCUCUUAUUGUCUUGUUUUGUUUCCUUCCUUUUCUUCCUUCCUUCCCUUCAUUUUCUUUCUCUUAUUGUCUUUUGUUUAGCUUCCUUCCUUCCCUUUGUUUUCUUCCUCUUAUUGUCUUGUUUUGCUUUCUUCCUUCCUUCCCUUUGUUCUCUUCUUAUUGUCUUGUUUUCCUUUUUCCUUCCUUUCCUUUUUGUUUUCUUCUGCUUGUUGUCUUGUUCUGUUUUCCUUCCUUCCUAUUUUCUUCCUCUUAUUGUCUUUUGUUUUUGUUCCUUCCUUCCUUUGGUUUACUGAGUGACUAAAUAAGUUUCCCUUCCUUCCUCCCUUCCUUCAAACAUCUUAAUAUUACAUAGUUGAAUUAGUAUGUAUUUAUUAUUAAUAUUUUUACAUACAUACAGUAGUAGUGUUACUUAUUUCCUUACAUUACAGGCAACGAUACACUAACUGGCCAUUCACGCUUCAAUUGACUGCCUUAACACAACACACAACUCCCUCUCCUACAGCUGUGUUGACGCGAGUGUGUGUCUAAGUGUGACUGGUGAUGUGGUGUGUGUAUGCGUGUGUGACUGGCAAGUGUUGCAGUGUGGUCCCCAGUAAUGCCCAGUAAUGCCCCUCUCUCUCUCUCUAACAUCACACUAUGUCCACAGACCAACACUAGACUGGGAAGUGGCUGCCAUGACCCCAUCAGGCCCUUAGGAACACCAGCAUGCCAGGGUCCUUCUCCAGGGAAGCAAAGGUACUGCCCCUCUGUGUUGUGUCUGCUGCUUUAGUGAAUGCUUGCAACAGAACAGCCAGCCAGCCAGCACACCGCCUCAGUGAUGGUAAUGCCUGAGCCCCUACUCUGAAACGCUCUGCUCUCUCACCAUUAUUACUUUCAUAGGCCACAGAGAUGAUUAGCUGGGUUCUCAAGAGAGGUUCUCCUGUUCAUGAUGCAAAAAUCUUGUUGAUUUGCCACUAGAAUCAUAAAAACAUCCUGAAAAACUCACGUCACUUCAAUUAGAGCAUUUUAAAAGGAUGUUUCUGCUAUUAAUAAUGUAGAAAUCUUGUUAAUCGGUCGCUAGAACCAUAAAAACACCUCGAGAAAUCCGUGUCACUUCAACUAAAGCCUUUGGAAAGUAGUGGAGGUGCGGCAUGGAAGUGGUUCAGAGUACAGUCCCUGAGCAGAGCCAGGCACCAGGAGGGCAGUAAGUCAGGAUGUCUUUUCUGUUGGCUUCAUUACUUAUGUUUUCUGAAGGAUUACUGGCUGAUGGCUCAGUAUUUGCUUCUAAGAUUUUUUUUUCUUUAAAGAUUUGUAACUUUUUUUUUCAGUAUCUGACUUUCUUCACUGUCUUUCAUGUUCUGGGUGUGUGUAGUGUCAGGUAGGCACAUGGUCACCCACACACACACACACACACACACACACACACACACACACACACACACACACACACACACACACACACACACACACACACAGCGUCCUCCCCAGAUUGCUUUGUUUACUUGCCACUCAUUCAGCAAUGCACUUCUCACCAUUUCCUCACUCCCCACCAGCCAUUGUGUGCCUGUCUCCUUCCUCUCUCAGCUCAACCUUUCUGUGGUCAGUGUGUGUGUCUCCUGUGGGCAACCUUGUGUCUGCACCUUGCUUACAGUACAAAUACUCUCAUCUCUAACAAUAACUCACUUAAGUCAAUCUACAUCACUUAGUACACUUUAAUUAUCCUCUUAAACAGUACCUAUCAAGUGGCCUAAGUCUUGCACCUUUCUAACUGCUAAUAACAUGCUAUGUACACUCUCACAACACUUGCACAACAACUACAACUCCUGCACUCAGCCAAGGACACACCCACCACACUGCACAAUGCACUCUUAAGCUGGCCUCACACUGCCACACUGAGGGCUAGGAGUUCCUCAGGCCUGGCACCAUCCUCAGUGUGGUCAACUCUUCCCCAGCCACCCCCUGCCACAUGCCCCAGCUUAGACACACAGUUGUGGCAUCAAGCUUAGGGUUGCUGCAACAAGCCUUCGCCAGUUGCUCAGAAGUACACAGCUUGGUUCAUAGUAACUUCCCUCAAGCUUCUCAACAUUUCGUUCCCAGUAAUCAAAACUCGUCAACACAUUCUGAACAUUUCUCAGUUAUUCAUCACCAUUCCCUUGCAGUAUCUCAUCUGUGACAUCAUAAUCUUCGCUACAAACUUGUCAGUACACUCUUAAACAUUCCUGUCAACACCACACACUCCCUCACUACACCAAGGACACACACACACACACACACACACACACACACACACACACACACACACACACACACACACACACACACACACACACACACACACACACACACACACACACACACACAC
Scylla paramamosain (green mud crab) is the source of this 4830-nucleotide long non-coding RNA. RefSeq lists it as uncharacterized. The record is from RefSeq and is a predicted model, not a curated record. NCBI's taxonomy places the organism in Eukaryota, Metazoa, Arthropoda, Malacostraca, Decapoda, Portunidae. The transcript has 2 exons.